CCCUUAGAUGUUCUGGGCGGCCCGCGCACUACAUUGGCACUGGCAACAAGAUCCUAGAUCUGAUAUUUCGGGGUAUUCUACCAACUGGUGUCGUGACUGGGAUUAACCCCUGCAAUUAUUGGUUAUGAACGAGGAAUUCCUUAUAAUCACGGUUUAUCAACCCGUGUUGAAUGCGUCCCUGCCCUUUGUACACACCGCCCGUCGCUCCUACCGAUGAAUCGUCCGGUGAAGUUCAUGGAGUCGCGGCUGCUCCAGCUGUUUUCGAAGUGAAAUGGACCUCAUGAUUUAGAGGAAGGAGAAGUCGUANCA
This 309-nucleotide ribosomal RNA is filed under the name uncultured eukaryote. RNAcentral's name for it is "partial 18S ribosomal RNA". It matches the Rfam family "Eukaryotic small subunit ribosomal RNA", at positions 1470 to 1796 of the family's 1831-position model. The record is from RNAcentral.